UCCGCCGGCCGCUCUGUCGCUGCGCCUUCGGGCGCGGAGGAAAGUCCGGACAACGCAGAGCGCCACACCAUCUAACGGAUGGGCUUCCGGGUCGAAGGACCAGGGAGACAGACAGUGUCACAGAAACAAUACCGCCCAUCGUCGUUGCGGCAAAAGCGGGUUCCGCCCGCCGGAGCUUCAGCGAAGGCGGGUAAGGGUGAAAUCGUGCGGUAAGAGCGCACGCGCCCCUGAAGCAAUUCAGGAGCGGGAUAAACCUUGUGGGUUGAAAUGCCAUGUACACCUUGGGUCCCGACGGGAACUGGGUUGCUCGCCCAGAUGAUAACGCUUCGGCGUUUCGGCCAAGGGGGGUAGGCAGAUAGAUCCGGCAUGCGAAUGCCGGGCAAGAUAAAUGACAGAGGCCCCGAAAGGGGAACAGAAUCCGGCUUACAAGCCGGCGGAAAGG
RNAcentral lists this RNase P RNA (442 nucleotides) under Lewinella sp. RNAcentral's name for it is "RNase P RNA component class A". It matches the Rfam family "Bacterial RNase P class A". Rfam says of the family: Ribonuclease P (RNase P) is a ubiquitous endoribonuclease, found in archaea, bacteria and eukarya as well as chloroplasts and mitochondria. Its best characterised activity is the generation of mature 5'-ends of tRNAs by cleaving the 5'-leader elements of precursor-tRNAs. Cellular RNase Ps are ribonucleoproteins. The record is from RNAcentral. Lineage: Bacteria; Pseudomonadati; Bacteroidota; Saprospiria; Saprospirales; Lewinellaceae. RNAcentral also lists the same sequence under 1 other name.